UACGAAGGGGGCUAGCGUUGUUCGGAAUCACUGGGCGUAAAGCGCACGUAGGCGGAUGUGUCAGUCAGGGGUGAAAUCCCAGCUCAACUCCGGAACUGCCUCUGAUACAGCACGUCUUGAGUUCGGGAGAGGUGAGUGGAACUGCGAGUGUAGAGGUGAAAUUCGUAGAUAUUCGCAAGAACACCAGUGGCGAAGGCGGCUCACUGGCCCGAUACUGACGCUGAGGCACGAAAGCGUGGGGAGCAAACAGG
Molecule: ribosomal RNA, 251 nt
Filed under: uncultured bacterium
Lineage: Bacteria
Description: partial 16S ribosomal RNA
Rfam family: Bacterial small subunit ribosomal RNA
Source: RNAcentral